GGAUGAACGCUGGCGGCGUGCCUAAUACAUGCAAGUCGAGCGAACGGACGAGAAGCUUGCUUCUCUGAUGUUAGCGGCGGACGGGUGAGUAACCCGUGGAUAACCUACCUAUAAGACUGGGAUAACUUCGGGAAACCGGAGCUAAUACCGGAUAAUAUUUUGAACCGCAUGGUUCAAAAGUGAAAGACGGUCUUGCUGUCACUUAUAGAUGGAUCCGCGCUGCAUUAGCUAGUUGGUAAGGUAACGGCUUACCAAGGCAACGAUGCAUAGCCGACCUGAGAGGGUGAUCGGCCACACUGGAACUGAGACACGGUCCAGACUCCUACGGGGGGCAGCAGUAGGGAAUCUUCCGCAAUGGGCGAAAGCCUGACGGAGCAACGCCGCGUGAGUGAUGAAGGUCUUCGGAUCGUAAAACUCUGUUAUUAGGGAAGAACAUAUGUGUAAGUAACUGUGCACAUCUUGACGGUACCUAAUCAGAAAGCCACGGCUAACUACGUG
Molecule: ribosomal RNA, 498 nt
Filed under: uncultured bacterium
Lineage: Bacteria
Description: partial 16S ribosomal RNA
Rfam family: Bacterial small subunit ribosomal RNA
Source: RNAcentral